This 468-nucleotide ribosomal RNA is filed under the name uncultured bacterium. Its description in RNAcentral is "partial 16S ribosomal RNA". It matches the Rfam family "Bacterial small subunit ribosomal RNA", at positions 28 to 507 of the family's 1533-position model. The record is from RNAcentral.
GACGAACGCUGGCGGCGUGCUUAACACAUGCAAGUCGAACGGAAAGGCCCUGCUUUUUUGGUGUGCUCGAGUGGCGAACGGGUGAGUAACACGUGAGUAACCUGCCCUUGACUUUGGUAUAACUUCAGGAAACUGGGGCUAAUACCGGAUAGGAUCUCCUGCUGCAUGGUGGGGGUUGGAAAGUUUCGGCGGUUGGGGAUGGACUCGCGGCUUAUCAGCUUGUUGGUGGGGUAGUGGCUUACCAAGGCUUUGACGGGUAGCCGGCAUGAGAGGGUGACCGGCCAAAUUGGGACUGAGAUACGGCCCAGACUCCUACGGGAGGCAGCAGUGGGGAAUAUUGCACAAUGGGCGGAAGCCAGAUGCAGCAACGCCGCGUGCGGGAUGACGGCCUUCGGGUUGUAAACCGCUUUCGCCUGUGACGAAGCGUGAGUGACGGUAAUGGGUAAAGAAGCACCGGCUAACUACGUG